Non-coding RNA from Oryctolagus cuniculus (rabbit), 2628 nucleotides. The record is from RefSeq and is a predicted model, not a curated record. Lineage: Eukaryota; Metazoa; Chordata; Mammalia; Lagomorpha; Leporidae.
UCUUAGUGGCAUAAAACAAUAAAUAGUUAUUAUCGCACAGCUUCCAUUAGUCAGCAAUCCAGACACAGCUUAAUCUGAGUGCUUGUGAUUCAGGAUCUUCCGUGAUACUUCAGUCAAUGUUUUGACCAGGGCUGUUGCAGAAUCCACUGGAGGAUUAUCUACUUAUAGGCACUUACAUGAAUACUGGGAAGAGGCCUCAGUGCCUCAUUGGCUACUGUUGGUGGAAGCAGUUGCUUGCUACAUGAAUCUAUCCAUUGCUAUGUGGAUAUAUCCACUUUGCUAUCCCCAGAGCUUGGAUCUGAGGGGCAGAAGAAGGGAGAAUGGGGAAGAGAGGGAGAAAUCAAAACAGAAGCCAGAGAAUUUUUAUAGCCUAAACACAUGAGUGAUAUCUUAUUACUUCUGCUGUAUUCUACACAUCUGAACUGAGCUAAUAAGUCUAGCUCAUACUCUACGUGACAAAGAUUUGAUGCCAGUAGUUGAGGAUCUCACAUGCUGCCCUCUUCAUAGGGAAUUAAAAAUAUUUUAAAGGGACUUUUGACUAUCUCAAAACACAAUUACUCAAAUAUACCUAUAGGAAUUUAAUGAAAACCCCUGUCAAACAUACUGGACUAAUAUUAGAAUUAUAUCCAACUUGUAGGCAUUCACUGACUUAAAAACAGAUGGUCACUCAUCUGAGAUUAGCACAGGAACUGAAAUCAAGUGUUGAGAAAUUUGACAUUGCUUGACAUGUGUGGGGAGCAACCGAGACUAGGCUAAAUUACUGGAACUGCUAAGACUAAUUCUAUGCAUCUGAUCUCCCACCAUAUGGCGCUGAGAGGGAAUAAACCACUUCCACACGGUUGCCUCACCAAUUCGACUAACAAGCUGCAGGAGCUGAUCCUGCCCCUGAUUGGAGGAGAGCAGCGUGCUCAGCCUGUGGGGAGAGAACACCAGCAGAGUUGGGAUUGGUGGAAGAGGACUAUAAAGGAGGAGAGAGACAACAUGCAAGAGGAACAUCUGAGCAACCCCUGAGAAACCCCUGAGAGAGCCGGCUGGCGGUGUGCUGCCCCUCCACGGAGGCGGGGGGCGGGGGCAGCGAACCCGGGAAGGGCCGGGGAAAGAGAACAGCCCAGGGCCCGGUGUUGUUCCUCUGCGAGUGGGGGAGCGACAGACAUGAAAUGAAGAUUCCUCUGGGAAGUACAAUGAACUAAUCUGGUACUGUACGCUGUAGGUUUCAUAUAAAAUACUGUCAUUUGCAUUUGAUCCAAGAUGACACUGAUAGAGUUGAUUCUUCUCGCAGAAGCCAUGUUUUCUCCUUCUACACACUACAUUCAACUUGUCCUUGGCUCUUCUGAGAUAACUCAUCCCCGACAUCAUCUCUCCUCAAAGGGAUUUCCAGCUCACCCAAUAUGGGCAGUAGGCUGGUUUUUCUUUUCUUCUUUUUAUGUUUGAUGGCUCAGAUGGAGAUCUCAUUUUGUUACAAUGUCAAGCCCAUCAAGGUAACCCUUUUAGCAGCUACCUAUAUUCUAUUUUAAUGAAGAAUUCUGGCCUUAAAAUAGGUUUUUCCUUUUAAAAUAAAAUAAAGGGAUUAUAUAAUAUUAAAUAUAUAUUUAAAAUAUAUUUAUUUAAAUAUAUUAAAUAUUUAUAAGUAAAUAUGUUUAUAUUAAAUUCAAAAUAUGGCAUAUUAUUCUAGGAUUAUUAUCUCUGUUGUUUUAACAUUUGUAAGCAUACUCAGCUUAUGAAAUUAUUGUGUGUUAAUUAUGAGAUGAUUGGUCAAGGUAUACUCACAAGCCCCAAAUCUCAGAGACUUUACAUGAAGUUGAUCUCUUACACAGAGUCUGUUGCUGUUCUAGUGGCUUUUUCAGGAAUCCCCUUUCCAUGUGGUGAUUUCAGAUUUUCUACUACUUGCUUAUACAUUGUGGCAAUGGCAUCUGAAACAUGUGCCUCUCCAGGGUCACCAUGAAGAGAGCUGGGAAAUACACUAGAGAGUUCUGCCUCAGUCCUCAAGUAACGUACAUCCCAGACUCAAUAGUCACAUGGCCAAGCACAAGUCACAUGGCCUUCUGCAAAUGUAAACAGAUUGGGUAAUGUAAUUUAACUAUGUCCAGGAAGGCAAAACCAAGAUACAAGGUAGUUUUUGCCAAAAAUCUCUGUAAAAGACAAUGAAGACAAUGAUGAUAAUUGGUGAAUAUUUUUUCUUACUGCAAAAAGUUGAAACUCUCUGUGAGCAUUCCACAUAUUUGGGGAAAAUUUAUUGAUGAAAUUUAGGAACUAUUGCACUAACUCGUUCUAUGAAACCUGAACGUCAUAGCCUAGAAUUCCUGGUUCUUUAUGCGCUAACCCUGCCAACAUCUCCAAGCUUAUCUGUUGAUAACCUUGACAUGAGUCAUACCUUUCUGUUUAUUUCAUUGCAGUUCAUGACCAUGUGUCCUUUUGCCUGAAAUUGUUUAAGCCUUGCCCUAAGUUUUUAAAGACUCUUACUUAGCAUCACUCAAUUGGUAGUGCACUCUUCAAUACCUCCAAAAGCAAUCCAUGCACCACUUCCAACCAUUUUUUGCAGACAUUCGUGAAUCCUCCAGUUGACCAUGUGUUCUUUUGAGUAGAGAAAUCUUUUUCUUCUCCUUAAUUCUAGAAUUCUGGUAAGGAGGA